UACGGAGGGGGCUAGCGUUGUUCGGAAUUACUGGGCGUAAAGCGCACGUAGGCGGAUCAGUCAGUUAGAGGUGAAAGCCCAGGGCUUAACCCUGGAACUGCCUUUAAUACUGCUGGUCUGGAGUCCGAGAGAGGUGAGUGGAAUUCCGAGUGUAGAGGUGAAAUUCGUAGAUAUUCGGAGGAACACCAGUGGCGAAGGCGGCUCACUGGCUCGGUACUGACGCUGAGGUGCGAAAGCGUGGGGAGCAAACAGG
RNAcentral lists this ribosomal RNA (253 nucleotides) under uncultured bacterium. Its description in RNAcentral is "partial 16S ribosomal RNA". It matches the Rfam family "Bacterial small subunit ribosomal RNA", at positions 524 to 776 of the family's 1533-position model. The record is from RNAcentral.